CAAUGGCAAAAAUCAAAAUUGUUGUGGUUAAAAAGCUCGUAGUUGGAUUUCUGCCGAGGACGUCCGGUCUGCCCUCUGGGUGUGUACGUGGUACGGCCUGGGCAAAAGGAAAUUAGAGUGUUUCAAGCAGGCCCACGCCUUGAAUACAUUAGCAUGGAAUAAUGAGAUAGGACCUCGGUUCUAUUUUGUUGGUUUCUAGAGCUGAGGUAAUGAUGAAUAGGGAUAGUUGGGGGGCAUUCGUAUUUAACUGUCAGAGGUGAAUUUCUUGGAUUUGUUAAAGACGGACUACUGCGAAAGCAUUCGCCAAGGAUGUUUUCAUUGA
RNAcentral lists this ribosomal RNA (322 nucleotides) under uncultured eukaryote. RNAcentral describes it as "partial 18S ribosomal RNA". It matches the Rfam family "Eukaryotic small subunit ribosomal RNA", at positions 592 to 976 of the family's 1831-position model. The record is from RNAcentral.